This 164-nucleotide ribosomal RNA is filed under the name Justicia prominens. Its description in RNAcentral is "5.8S ribosomal RNA". The stretch from base 1 to 79 matches the Rfam family "5.8S ribosomal RNA", at positions 78 to 154 of the family's 154-position model. Lineage: Eukaryota; Viridiplantae; Streptophyta; Magnoliopsida; Lamiales; Acanthaceae. The record is from RNAcentral.
AAUCCCGUGAACCAUCGAGUCUUUGAACGCAAGUUGCGCCCGAGGCCCUCGGGCCGAGGGCACGCCUGCCUGGGCGUCACGCAUCGCGUCGCCCCCUCCCCCGGCUCCCGCGGAGCGGGGGGUGGAGACUGGCCUCCCGUGCGCUCCCGUCGCGCGGCCGGCCC